AUCACUCCAGUUCCUAUAUGAUCACAAAAGUUAAGCAAUGUCAAGCCUGGUCAGUACCUAGAUGGGUGACCACUUGAGUAUAACAGGUGUUG
Acanthosepion pharaonis is the source of this 92-nucleotide non-coding RNA. The record is from the annotation of a GenBank genome assembly. Lineage: Eukaryota; Metazoa; Mollusca; Cephalopoda; Sepiida; Sepiidae.